RNAcentral lists this ribosomal RNA (460 nucleotides) under uncultured bacterium. RNAcentral describes it as "partial 16S ribosomal RNA". It matches the Rfam family "Bacterial small subunit ribosomal RNA", at positions 338 to 795 of the family's 1533-position model. The record is from RNAcentral.
CCUACGGGUGGCUGCAGUGAGGAAUAUUUGUCAAUGGGCGCGAGCCUGAACCAGCCACGUAGCGUGAAGGAUGACUGCCCUACGGGUUGUAAACUUCUUUUAUAAAGGAAUAAAGUGAGGCACGUGUGCCUUUUUGUAUGUACUUUAUGAAUAAGGAUCGGAUAACUCCGUGCCAGCAGCCGCGGUAAUACGGAGGAUCCGAGCGUUAUCCGGAUUUAUUGGGUUAAAAGGAAGCGUAGAUGGGUUGUUAAGUCAGUUGUGAAAGUUUGCGUCUCAACCGUAAAAUUGCAAUUGAUACUGGCAGCCUUGAGUACAGUGGAGGUAGGCGGAAUUUGUGGUGUAGCGGUGAAAUGCGUAGAUAUCACGAAGAACUCCGAUUGCGAAGGCAGCCUACUAAACUGCCACUGACAUUGAUGCUCGAAAGUGUGGGUAUCAAACAGGAUUAGAUACCCCUGUAGUC